ACCCAGACUCCUACGGGAGGCAGCGGUGAGGAAUAUUGGUCAAUGGGCGAGAGCCUGAACCAGCCAAGUCGCGUGAAGGAUGAAGGAUCUAUGGUUUGUAAACUUCUUUUAUAUGGGAAUAAAGUGAGGAACGUGUUCCUUUUUGUAUGUACCAUAUGAAUAAGCAUCGGCUAACUCCGUGCCAGCAGCCGCGGUAAUACGGGGGAUGCGAGCGUUAUCCGGAUUUAUUGGGUUUAAAGGGUGCGUAGGCGGCGCUUCAGGUCAGCGGUGAAAUACCGGGGCUCAACCCCGGGGCUGCCGUUGAAACCGGAGCGCUAGAAUUCCGAUGCCGUCGGAGGAAUGUGUGGUGUAGCGGUGAAAUGCAUAGAUAUCACGCAGAACUCCGAUUGCGAAGGCAGCAUACCGGCGCCCAACUGACGCUGAAGCACGAAAGCGUGGGUAUCGAACAGGAUUAGAUACCCCCGUAAC
Molecule: ribosomal RNA, 468 nt
Filed under: uncultured bacterium
Lineage: Bacteria
Description: bacterial SSU rRNA
Rfam family: Bacterial small subunit ribosomal RNA
Source: RNAcentral